RNAcentral lists this ribosomal RNA (253 nucleotides) under uncultured bacterium. Its description in RNAcentral is "partial 16S ribosomal RNA". It matches the Rfam family "Bacterial small subunit ribosomal RNA", at positions 524 to 776 of the family's 1533-position model. The record is from RNAcentral.
UACAGAGGGGGCGAGCGUUGUUCGGAAUUACUGGGCGUAAAGGGCGCGUAGGCGGCCUUCUAAGUCGAACGUGAAAUCCCCGGGCUCAACCCGGGAACUGCGUCCGAUACUGGAAGGCUCGAAUCCGGGAGAGGGAUGUGGAAUUCCAGGUGUAGCGGUGAAAUGCGUAGAUAUCUGGAGGAACACCGGUGGCGAAGGCGACAUCCUGGACCGGUAUUGACGCUGAGGCGCGAAAGCCAGGGGAGCAAACGGG